This 292-nucleotide ribosomal RNA is filed under the name uncultured bacterium. RNAcentral's name for it is "partial 16S ribosomal RNA". It matches the Rfam family "Bacterial small subunit ribosomal RNA", at positions 505 to 796 of the family's 1533-position model. The record is from RNAcentral.
GUGUCAGCCGCCGCGGUAAGACAGAGGUGCCAAGCGUUAGGCGGAAUCACUGGGCUUAAAGCGUGUGUAGGCGGACUGGUAAGUACCUUGUGAAAUCCCACGGCUCAACCGUGGAACUGCUUGGUAUACUGCUUGUCUUGAGCCACUUAGGGGCAAUCGGAACAAACGGUGGAGCGGUGAAAUGCGUAGAUAUCGUUUGGAACGCCAAUGGUGAAAACAGAUUGCUGGGAGUGUGCUGACGCUGAGACACGAAAGCCAGGGGAGCGAACGGGAUUAGAUACCCGCGUAGUCC